This 1346-nucleotide ribosomal RNA is filed under the name uncultured bacterium. RNAcentral describes it as "16S ribosomal RNA". It matches the Rfam family "Bacterial small subunit ribosomal RNA". The record is from RNAcentral.
ACGCUGGCGGCACGCCUAACACAUGCAAGUCGAACGAAGUAGCAAUACUUAGUGGCAGACGGGUGAGUAACAUGUAGGUAUCUGCCCUUUGGCCUGGAAUAACACGAGGAAACUUGUGCUAAUACCGGAUAAGUCUUUACGGAGAAAGCUUUAUGCACCAUUGGAUGAGCCUGCACUUGAUUAGUUUGUUGGUAGGGUAAUGGCCUACCAAGACUUUGAUCAAUAGCUGAUUUGAGAGGAUGAUCAGCCACAUUGGGACUGAGACACGGCCCAAACUCCUACGGGAGGCAGCAGUGGGGAAUCUUGCACAAUGGAGGAAACUCUGAUGCAGCGAUGCCGCGUGAGUGAAGAAGGCCCUUGGGUUGUAAAGCUCUUUCGUCGGGGAAGAAAAUGACUGUACCCGAAUAAGAAGGUCCGGCUAACUUCGUGCCAGCAGCCGCGGUAAUACGAAGGGACCUAGCGUAGUUCGGAAUUACUGGGCUUAAAGAGUUCGUAGGUGGUUGAAAAAGUUGGUGGUGAAAUCCCAGAGCUUAACUCUGGAACUGCCAUCAAAACUUUUCAGCUAGAGUAUGAUAGAGGAAAGCAGAAUUUCUAGUGUAGAGGUGAAAUUCGUAGAUAUUAGAAAGAAUACCAAUUGCGAAGGCAGCUUUCUGGAUCAUUACUGACACUGAGGAACGAAAGCAUGGGUAGCGAAGAGGAUUAGAUACCCUCGUAGUCCAUGCCGUAAACGAUGUGUGUUAGACGUUGGAAAUUUAUUUUCAGUGUCGCAGCGAAAGCGAUAAACACACCGCCUGGGGAGUACGACCGCAAGGUUAAAACUCAAAUGAAUUGACGGGGACCCGCACAAGUAGUGGAGCAUGUGGUUUAAUUCGAAGAUACGCGCAGAACCUUACCAACACUUGACAUGUUCGUCGCGACUCUAAGAGAUUAGAGUUUUCGGUUCGGCCGGACGAAACACAGGUGCUGCAUGGCUGUCGUCAGCUCGUGUCGUGAGAUGUUGGGUUAAGUCCCGCAACGAGCGCAACCCUCACUUUUAGUUGCCAUCAUUAAGUUGGGCACUCUGAAAGAACUGCCAGUGAUAAGCUGGAGGAAGGUGGGGAUGACGUCAAGUCCUCAUGGCCCUUACGUGUUGGGCUACACACGUGCUACAAUGGUAUCUACAACAGGAAGCAAGACUGCGAAGUUAAGCAAAUCCCUAAAAGAUACCUCAGUUCGGAUUGCACUCUGCAACUCGAGUGCAUGAAGCUGGAAUUACUAGUAAUCGUGGAUCAGCGUGCCACGGUGAAUGCGUUCCCGGGUCUUGUACACACCGCCCGUCACACCAUGGGAGUUGGUUCUACCUUAAG